UUGUCUGAUGGCACUAAUGUUGCUGUUGCUGCUACUACUGUUUGAGAAUACUAGCUCGACGCACAUUAGUGGCACGUUUGAUACAAAGAAUUUCUUCAAGUUCCUUAUAAAGUUUGGCUUUCAAAAAACAGAUCCUCACAGGCAAAGAGACUCUUACGGCUAUAUUUUCGGAAAUGUUACUUCGAAAACGGAUUUUUCGAGAAAUAUCACCUUAGCUGUAUUAGAUCGCAACCACUUUUUGGAGUAUUAUGGAAACCGUAUGAUUAGAGAUAAAAAGUUAGCUUGUACCAGAAUGUUUAAGACUUUGAACCAGAGUUCGUACGAUAUGAAAUGCAAUGACAAUGGACAAGAUUAUUUAAGAAGAGUACCUUGUCAAGCAGGACAAUUAUGUCCUGAUGAAAAUUUACCAUGGAAUGUAGUUAGUGGUAACCAAUUUACUUUUACAAUCAGAGACGACUUUCAACCACGCUUUUGGUACGUUAGUCUGGUAGCUUGCUACAGAAAUAAUGAAACUUGCCAAUGGGAAUAUUAUGACAAGCAGGAUGAACUAGAAUACGAUAUCUGGCUAAUCAAUGGAAAUCCCAAUAACACUGGCUUGAGUAGUCUAAGCUCCUACCAAUUUUCAUACGACAGACAAAACACCAUUGAACUCUAUUUGUUAUUUUUUAUAUGUUACACUGUAUUAGUGCCACUACAGCUGUUUGCAGUAAGAUUACAAAAGCAUCCUGUUACAAAACUUUUUACAGCAAGUCUCCUCUUGGAAUUCAUGGCUCUGAGCCUGAUUCUUGUGCAUGUACUCAAGUUUGCCUUUGAUGGAGUUGGCUAUGAGCAGCUAGAAGUAGCUGGCGAUAUACUUGAUAUUUUAUCUCGAGCUUCAUUCAUGUUACUCUUACUUUUGCUGGCAAAAGGCUAUGCUGUAACCAGGCAAGAAUUCACUAGCAAACUCUUAGUAUUUGCAAUAUGGAUUUGUUACGGUGUAGUUCAUAUUCUGUUGUACGUCUGGAACUUGACUGAAGUCGAUAUAAUCGAAGAUAUCGACGAGUAUCAAACGUGGCCUGGUUGGUUUAUAUUGUUUUUCCGCAGUAUGAUAAUGUUAUGGUUUCUGUUUGAACUUCGGAGUACAAUGAUGUAUGAGCACAAUACUCAAAAGCUAAACUUCCUACUUCACUUUGGUGCAUCAUCAUUAGUAUGGUUUAUCUAUUUACCUAUAAUAGCCCUCAUAGCUCUUCAAGUCAGUGCAUUGUGGAGGUUUAAACUCCUCUUGGGUAUUACUUAUUCUGUGGAUUGUUUUGCUUACUGUGUAAUGGCCCAUUUACUUUGGCCAACUAGAAGCGAGCAAUAUUUCCUACUGGCCCAAGGAGCCUACAACGGAGACGAGCUUGAUGAAUUUAAUGAGGCUCCUCAUGUGUUGAAUCAUUACAUAGAGCCAAAAGUGAUAGCAUAAUCUCUCUAGGACUAGUUUGUCGAGGAUGCUCACAUAUUCGUCAAAUCAGAGGUCAGUUACUAACCAGAUACUCAUCCGUUAGAGUAGUUUAUUUGGCUAAAUAAGGUGUAAUGAAGACAUUUAGUUAAUGAAGUUGUAAUAUGAUGUUAAGUCAAUACAACGACACUGUGAUGUAUAUUUGCCAAAAGGAAAAAAAAAUAGAAAGAAAUGCUGCGUGCUUCUUGAGACUGAUGUAAUUUGAUAUUUAUACCUAGUAAAAAUAUUGACAAUGUUUAUCAAACAAUGUUUUCAUUAUAUUGGAAUGCUAAAAGUUGAAAAAUAACAAGAACGCAUAAUUUGAACCAUCUAUGAUUUAGUUUUCAUUUAGAGUAAAUCUUUUAUCGAAUAAAACGAUGUUAAAUUCAAUAUUUGCAUUUCAUAAUAUUACUGUAAGAAAUUUCUCACAUUUUUUAACACUUAUUUAUAGUCUCUGUAAGCACAAAAUUUAUUUCAUAAAAGUAAAUUAAAUCAUUUUAAUUAACUGUACUGCUGCUACUCUUAUUUAAUGCACAAUAAAAAAUAAGAAAAGUAUGGCAAAAAUUUAAUUAAGUGAAAAUAAAGUACUCAGUCAAUUCAAUAUAUUUAGGAGUAUAAAAUAUCUUGAAAAGAUAUAAUACUCGAUUAAUCCAUGUAUAUGAAACGUACGAUUCCAAUGAAAAAUAUAAUAAUUACCUGUUCAUUCAAGGAUUUUGUACAAACUUUAAAAAGCGAUUUGCUACAUGUAAAUUAAAUCUUUUAAAAAAUUCUUAUCUCAAAGUGUGAAGAGCAAAAUUGAAUUUGAAGUCUUACAUUUUAUAGCUCUCCAAUCUUUUUAGACCUCAUAUUUAAGUAAAUCAUGUGGUUUUAAUAAUUGAAUUUUAAAAAAUUGUUCAGUUUUUGUAUGAUAAAG
Molecule: unclassified non-coding RNA, 2372 nt
Filed under: Copidosoma floridanum
Lineage: Eukaryota; Metazoa; Arthropoda; Insecta; Hymenoptera; Encyrtidae
Description: transmembrane protein 145, transcript variant X2
Source: RNAcentral